Molecule: ribosomal RNA, 122 nt
Filed under: Lottia gigantea (owl limpet)
Lineage: Eukaryota; Metazoa; Mollusca; Gastropoda; Lottiidae
Source: RNAcentral
GUCUAUGGCCAUACCACGUUGAAAGCACCAGUUCUCGUCCGAUCACUGAAGUUAAGCAACGUCGGGCUCGGUUAGUACUUGGAUGGGUGACCGCCUGGGAACACCGAGUGCUGUAGACUCCC